ACAGCUCAAAUUUGAAAUCUGGCUCUUUCAGGGUCCGAGUUGUAAUUUGUAGAGGGUGCUUUGGUGUUGACUACGGCCUAAGUUCCUUGGAACAGGACGUCACAGAGGGUGAGAAUCCCGUAUGUGGCUGCUAGCCUUCACCGUGUAAAGCCCCUUCGACGAGUCGAGUUGUUUGGGAAUGCAGCUCUAAAUGGGAGGUAAAUUUCUUCUAAAGCUAAAUACUGGCCAGAGACCGAUA
Molecule: ribosomal RNA, 238 nt
Filed under: Byssolophis sphaerioides
Lineage: Eukaryota; Fungi; Ascomycota; Dothideomycetes; Pleosporales
Description: partial large subunit ribosomal RNA
Rfam family: Eukaryotic large subunit ribosomal RNA
Source: RNAcentral